AUGAACGCUGGCGGCGUGCCUAACACAUGCAAGUCGAACGGUGACAGCAAUGUCAUAGUGGCGCACGGGUGAGGAACACGUAGCUAACCUGCCCUCGAGUGUGGGAUAACUUCCCGAAAGGGAUGCUAAUACCGCAUAAGCUCACGGUGAGCAAGUAGCUGUGAGAAAAGAUUUAUCGCUUGGGGAGGGGGCUGCGGCCCAUCAGGUAGUUGGUAAGGUAACGGCUCACCAAGCCGACGACGGGUAGGGGGUCUGAGAGGAUGGCCCCCCACACUGGGACUGAGACACGGCCCAGACUCCUACGGGAGGCAGCAGUGAGGGAUAUUGCGCAAUGGGGGAAACCCUGACGCAGCGACGCCGCGUGGGUGAUGAAGGCCUUCGGGUCGUAAAACCCUUUUGCCACUGACGAGACAAGGACGGUAGGUGGCGAAUAAGCCUCGGCUAACUACGUGCCAGCAGCCGCGGUAAAACGUAGGAGGCGAGCGUUAUCCGGAGUUACUGGGCGUAAAGCGCGCGCAGGCGGUACGUUAAGUCGGGCGUGAAAGCCCCAUGCUAAACGUGGGGAGGACGAACGAUACUGGCGAACUGGAGUGGAGCAGAGGGACAUGGAAUUCCGGGUGCAGCGGUGAAAUGUGCAGAUAUCCGGAGGAACACCAGAGGUGAAAACGGUGUCCUGGGCUCACACUGACGCUGAGGUGCGAAAGCGUGGGGAGCGAACGGGAUUAGAGACCCCGGUAGUCCACGCUGUAAACGAU
RNAcentral lists this ribosomal RNA (755 nucleotides) under uncultured bacterium. RNAcentral describes it as "bacterial SSU rRNA". It matches the Rfam family "Bacterial small subunit ribosomal RNA", at positions 29 to 810 of the family's 1533-position model. The record is from RNAcentral.